Molecule: ribosomal RNA, 253 nt
Filed under: uncultured bacterium
Lineage: Bacteria
Description: partial 16S ribosomal RNA
Rfam family: Bacterial small subunit ribosomal RNA
Source: RNAcentral
UACAGGGGAUGCGAGUGUUAUCCGGAAUUAUUGGGCGUAAAGCGUUUGUAGGUUGAUUGCUUAGUCUAUUGUAAAAUUUUUGAGCUUAACUCAAAGCAAGCAAAAGAAACAAGCCAUCUAGAGUUUGAUAAAAGUAAAGGGAAUUUCCAGUGGAGCGGUGAAAUGCGUAGAUAUUGGAAGGAACGCCGAAGGCGAAAGCACUUUGCUAGGUCAAAACUGACACUGAGAGACGAAAGCUAGGGGAGCAAACGGG